RNAcentral lists this ribosomal RNA (551 nucleotides) under Salmonella enterica. RNAcentral's name for it is "partial 23S ribosomal RNA". It matches the Rfam family "Bacterial large subunit ribosomal RNA", at positions 638 to 1190 of the family's 2925-position model. Lineage: Bacteria; Pseudomonadati; Pseudomonadota; Gammaproteobacteria; Enterobacterales; Enterobacteriaceae. The record is from RNAcentral. RNAcentral also lists the same sequence under 1 other name.
UAGCAAGGUUAACCGUAUAGGGGAGCCGGAGGGAAACCGAGUCUUAAUUGGGCGUUAAGUUGCAGGGUAUAGACCCGAAACCCGGUGAUCUAGCCAUGGGCAGGUUGAAGGUUGGGUAACACUAACUGGAGGACCGAACCGACUAAUGUUGAAAAAUUAGCGGAUGACCUGUGGCUGGGGGUGAAAGGCCAAUCAAACCGGGAGAUAGCUGGUUCUCCCCGAAAGCUAUUUAGGUAGCGCCUCGUGAAUUCAUCUCCGGGGGUAGAGCACUGUUUCGGCUAGGGGGCCAUCCCGGCUUACCAACCCGAUGCAAACUGCGAAUACCGGAGAAUGUUAUCACGGGAGACACACGGCGGGUGCUAACGUCCGUCGUGAAGAGGGAAACAACCCAGACCGCCAGCUAAGGUCCCAAAGUCAUGGUUAAGUGGGAAACGAUGUGGGAAGGCCCAGACAGCCAGGAUGUUGGCUUAGAAGCAGCCAUCAUUUAAAGAAAGCGUAAUAGCUCACUGGUCGAGUCGGCCUGCGCGGAAGAUGUAACGGGGCUAAACCAU